GAAAGCAUCUAAGCACGAAACUUGCCCCGAGAUGAGUUCUCCCUGAGACUUAGAGUCUCCUGAAGGAACGUUGAAGACGACGACGUUGAUAGGCCGGGUGUGUAAGCGCAGCGAUGCGUUGAGCUAACCGGUACUAAUGAACCGUGAGGCUUAACCUUAC
RNAcentral lists this ribosomal RNA (160 nucleotides) under Salmonella enterica subsp. enterica serovar Agona str. SA-2. Its description in RNAcentral is "partial 23S ribosomal RNA". It matches the Rfam family "Bacterial large subunit ribosomal RNA", at positions 2773 to 2925 of the family's 2925-position model. Lineage: Bacteria; Pseudomonadati; Pseudomonadota; Gammaproteobacteria; Enterobacterales; Enterobacteriaceae. The record is from RNAcentral.